GCUUAUGGCCAUACCACCCUGAACCCAUCUGAUCUCGGAAGCUAAGCAGGGUCGGUCCUGGUUAGUACUUAAAUGGGAGACCCCCUGGGAAUACCAGGUGUGGUGAGCU
This 109-nucleotide ribosomal RNA is filed under the name Amphilophus citrinellus (Midas cichlid). The record is from RNAcentral. Lineage: Eukaryota; Metazoa; Chordata; Actinopteri; Cichliformes; Cichlidae.